Molecule: ribosomal RNA, 404 nt
Filed under: Actinomycetes bacterium
Lineage: Bacteria; Bacillati; Actinomycetota; Actinomycetes
Description: Actinobacteria bacterium partial 16S ribosomal RNA
Rfam family: Bacterial small subunit ribosomal RNA
Source: RNAcentral
UGGGGAAUAUUGGACAAUGGGCGCAAGCCUGAUCCAGCCAUGCCGCGUGAGUGAUGAAGGCCCUAGGGUUGUAAAGCUCUUUCACCGGUGAAGAUAAUGACGGUAACCGGAGAAGAAGCCCCGGCUAACUUCGUGCCAGCAGCCGCGGUAAUACGAAGGGGGCUAGCGUUGUUCGGAUUUACUGGGCGUAAAGCGCACGUAGGCGGACUUUUAAGUCAGGGGUGAAAUCCCGGGGCUCAACCCCGGAACUGCCUUUGAUACUGGAAGUCUUGAGUAUGGUAGAGGUGAGUGGAAUUCCGAGUGUAGAGGUGACAUUCGUAGAUAUUCGGAGGAACACCAGUGGCGAAGGCGGCUCACUGGACCAUUACUGACGCUAAAGUGCGAAAGCGUGGGGAGCAAACAGG